GCAGAUAUCAGGAGGAACACCGAUGGCGAAGGCAGGUCUCUGGGCUGUAACUGACGCUGAGGAGCGAAAGCAUGGGGAGCGAACAGGAUUAGAUACCCUGGUAGUCCAUGCCGUAAACGUUGGGCACUAGGUGUGGGGGACAUUCCACGUUUUCCGCGCCGUAGCUAACGCAUUAAGUGCCCCGCCUGGGGAGUACGGCCGCAAGGCUAAAACUCAAAGGAAUUGACGGGGGCCCGCACAAGCGGCGGAGCAUGCGGAUUAAUUCGAUGCAACGCGAAGAACCUUACCAAGGCUUGACAUGAACCGGAAAGACCUGGAAACAGGUGCCCCGCUUGCGGUCGGUUUACAGGUGGUGCAUGGUUGUCGUCAGCUCGUGUCGUGAGAUGUUGGGUUAAGUCCCGCAACGAGCGCAACCCUCGUUCUAUGUUGCCAGCGCGUUAUGGCGGGGACUCAUAGGAGACUGCCGGGGUCAACUCGGAGGAAGGUGGGGACGACGUCAAAUCAUCAUGCCCCUUAUGUCUUGGGCUUCACGCAUGCUACAAUGGCCGGUACAAAGGGUUGCGAUACUGUGAGGUGGAGCUAAUCCCAAAAAGCCGGUCUCAGUUCGGAUUGGGGUCUGCAACUCGACCCCAUGAAGUCGGAGUCGCUAGUAAUCGCAGAUCAGCAACGCUGCGGUGAAUACGUUCCCGGGCCUUGUACACACCGCCCGUCAAGUCACGAAAGUUGGUAACACCCGAAGCCGGUGGCCUAACCCUUGUGGGGGGAGCCGUCGAAGGUGGGACCGGCGAUUGGGACUAAGU
RNAcentral lists this ribosomal RNA (800 nucleotides) under Paenarthrobacter nitroguajacolicus. RNAcentral describes it as "bacterial SSU rRNA". It matches the Rfam family "Bacterial small subunit ribosomal RNA", at positions 690 to 1486 of the family's 1533-position model. The record is from RNAcentral. Lineage: Bacteria; Bacillati; Actinomycetota; Actinomycetes; Micrococcales; Micrococcaceae.